AGAUCACCUGCAUGGUGGAACACGCCAGCUUCCCCUCUCCUAAGAAAGUGGACUGGAAUCCCUCCAUGCCACAAUCAGACAGAAACAAGAUCGCCGUCGGAGCGUCAGGUCUGCUUCUGGGUUUGAUUUUGUCUUUGGCAGGUCUGAUCUACUACAAGAGGAAGGCCCGAGGGCGUGUUCUGGUUCCAACCAGCUGAAGGAGGAAGUGAAUCUUCUUCCUCGUUGGUUUUUCUGGUGGAAGUUCAGACUGAGUUGCUUCCACCUGAAGGUUUUCUCCCAGAUUGUCAGUGCUGCCCCCUGCUGGAUGUCAUCACCCCCUGCUCGUAUUCUUACUAAUGCUCUACAGAUUCUGAUGUGACCGAAUGCUUCACCCGUAACACAACUUUGUAUUAAAACCAACCAACAACAUUCCCCUGACCAAUAAUACAGGGAAAUCACUUUAAUGCUCCUGCUGAAAUCACCAGUCGUCUGUUGCUCUGUCUCCUGUACAAUCUGUUCUUUCUAAAAUAA
Molecule: long non-coding RNA, 510 nt
Organism: Lampris incognitus (smalleye Pacific opah)
Lineage: Eukaryota; Metazoa; Chordata; Actinopteri; Lampriformes; Lampridae
Exons: 3
Source: RefSeq, a predicted model, not a curated record